CAAAAACACAUCGACAGUAAUCCCUCGUUUAUCGUGGGGGUUACAUUCCAAAAAAGAACCCGUGAUAAGUGAAAUCUGCUAAAUAAUCAUCUUUAUUAUAUAUACAGUAUAUAUAUAUAUAUUUUUAAUUAUUUCAUAUAGAAAGAUUGUAUUGAAUGACACCAACGACUAAACUGUUUUUCAGGCAUAAAAAAAAAAUGCUUUCUUAAAAACAAUUUACUCGGUAACUGGUAUUGUAUUUAGACAUACUGUACGUUUCGUCAACAUUGCGUGUUUUGUCAUGGAGAAAAUUUGGCAAGCUCUAUAGUGAUGCGACGCGAAAACUGUUUAGUCUACACUUUGCCAAUCAGGAUGCAGAACAAAAUGCACUGGCCCCAUAAAUAAAUAUAUAAAUACAUAAGAAAUAAAUUGCAGGAAAAAAAUCCUGAAAAGAUGAAGCGUGUUAUAGCGAGGGAUUACUGUCUACUGCAGUUAUA
This is a long non-coding RNA of Hippocampus zosterae (dwarf seahorse), 476 nucleotides long. RefSeq lists it as uncharacterized. Lineage: Eukaryota; Metazoa; Chordata; Actinopteri; Syngnathiformes; Syngnathidae. The record is from RefSeq and is a predicted model, not a curated record. The transcript has 2 exons.